This is a long non-coding RNA of Coregonus clupeaformis (lake whitefish), 943 nucleotides long. RefSeq lists it as uncharacterized. The record is from RefSeq and is a predicted model, not a curated record. NCBI's taxonomy places the organism in Eukaryota, Metazoa, Chordata, Actinopteri, Salmoniformes, Salmonidae. The transcript is spliced from 3 exons.
GUCAUUCAAAGGUCACAGUGAGGUCACAGUUCAGCAGACCUUGUGAUAAUAUGGUAGAGGUCAUAGGUCAGCAGACCUUGUGAUAAUACAGUAUAGGUCAGCAGACCUUGUGAUAAUACGGUGGAGGUCAUAGGUCAGCAGACCUUGUGCUAAUACGGUAUAAGUCAUUAGACCUUGUGAUAAUACAGUAUAGGUCAUAGGUCAGCAGACCUUGGGAUAAUACAGUAUAGGUCAUAGGUCAGCAGACCUUGGGAUAAUACAGUAUAGGUCAUAGGUCAGCAGACCUUGGGAUAAUACAGUAUAGGUCAUAGGUCAGCAGACCUUGGGAUGGUACAGUAUAGGUCAUAGGUCAGCAGACCUUGGGAUGGUACAGUAUAGGUCAUAGGUCAGCAGACCUUGGGAUAAUACAGUAUAGGUCAUAGGUCAGCAGACCUUGGGAUAAUACAGUAUAGGUCAUAGAUCAGCAGACCUUGGGAUAAUACAGUAUAGGUCAUAGGUCAGCAGACCUUGGGAUAAUACAGUAUAGGUCAUAGGUCAGCAGACCUUGGGAUAAUACAGUAUAGGUCAUAGGUCAGCAGACCUUGGGAUAAUACAGUAUAGGUCAUAGGUCAGCAGACCUUGGGAUAAUACAGUAUAGGUCAUAGGUCAGCAGACCUUGGGAUAAUACAGUAUAGGUCAUAGGUCAGCAGACCUUGGGAUAAUACAGUAUAGGGGCCUCUAUCUUUGGGCUCUGAUUAUUAAUAAUGAUGACGAUAACUUGCCUUGGAAAAUGCGUUUCUUGCAUUUUGCUAUACCAAACAAAAUGCAAAUUACAUCAAAACAUUGAUUUGGAUUUGUUGUUUGUUUGUACUUUUGUAUAUGCAAUUCAGCUUUUAGAUGACUAUUUCUACAAAAUAAAACUAAACUAAAUAGGAAUGAUAAGAACUGUGGCUGUGUUGUGUCC